CUGGACUCCUUCAGCUGUCUCCUUUCUGGGGAAGGGGGAGGUCUGCUGUGGCGGCGAGUCCUGCAGGCGAUGCCAGCCACCAGGAGGCACAGUGCCAUGAGCAGGCCGAAACAGACACCCAUCAUGAAGUAGAGGGCGAAGCUCUCUGGAUUGGCUGUGUGGGCAGAGAAACACAAUGGACGAGUUUGAUAUGACCUCGACAACAGGGGCAAUUACAGUGGUCGUCUCUAUGGUGGCCGCUGACUCAUGGGAACUGGUGGGUUUCGAUCAGCACUGCCUUCUGUUCGGCAUUUAACUCACAGACCGAAGAGGCAUGACUCCAUCUGAACCCUCAAUUUGCGGCCUCC
Long non-coding RNA from Sander lucioperca (pikeperch), 347 nucleotides. RefSeq lists it as uncharacterized. The record is from RefSeq and is a predicted model, not a curated record. The transcript is spliced from 3 exons. NCBI's taxonomy places the organism in Eukaryota, Metazoa, Chordata, Actinopteri, Perciformes, Percidae.